Molecule: ribosomal RNA, 253 nt
Filed under: uncultured bacterium
Lineage: Bacteria
Description: partial 16S ribosomal RNA
Rfam family: Bacterial small subunit ribosomal RNA
Source: RNAcentral
UACGUAGGGGGCAAGCGUUGUCCGGAUUUAUUGGGCGUAAAGAGCGUGUAGGCGGCCAGACAGGUCCGUUGUGAAAACUCGAGGCUCAACCUCGAGACGUCGACGGAAACCGUCUGGCUAGAGUCCGGAAGAGGAGUGUGGAAUUCCUGGUGUAGCGGUGAAAUGCGCAGAUAUCAGGAAGAACACCUAUGGCGAAGGCAGCACUCUGGGACGGUACUGACGCUGAGGUGCGAAAGCGUGGGGAGCAAACAGG